RNAcentral lists this ribosomal RNA (253 nucleotides) under uncultured bacterium. RNAcentral's name for it is "partial 16S ribosomal RNA". It matches the Rfam family "Bacterial small subunit ribosomal RNA", at positions 524 to 776 of the family's 1533-position model. The record is from RNAcentral.
UACAGAGGGUGCAAGCGUUGUUCGGAAUUAUUGGGCGUAAAGCGCGUGUAGGCGGCUUUGCAAGUCGGGUGUGAAAUCUCGGAGCUUAACUCCGAAACUGCAUUCGAUACUGCCGUGCUUGAGGACUGGAGAGGAGACUGGAAUUUACGGUGUAGCGGUGAAAUGCGUAGAUAUCGUAAGGAAGACCAGUGGCGAAGGCGGGUCUCUGGACAGUUCCUGACGCUGAGGCACGAAGGCCAGGGGAGCAAACGGG